CUGGCUCAGGAUGAACGCUAGCGGCAGGCUUAAUACAUGCAAGUCGAACGGUAGCAGGGCUUCGGCCCUGUGAGAGUGGCGCACGGGUGCGUAACGCGUAUGCAACCUGCCUUCAGUUGGGGGAUAGCCCGGGGAAACCCGGAUUAAUACCGCAUAACACAGGGGCCCCGCAUGGGGAUAUUUGUUAAAGAUUUAUCGACUGAAGAUGGGCAUGCGUCUGAUUAGCUGGUUGGAGAGGUAACGGCUCACCAAGGCAACGAUCAGUAGGGGAUCUGAGAGGAUGACCCCCCACACUGGUACUGAGAUACGGACCAGACUCCUACGGGAGGCAGCAGUAAGGAAUAUUGGACAAUGGGCGCAAGCCUGAUCCAGCCAUGCCGCGUGCAGGAAGACGGCCCUAUGGGUUGUAAACUGCUUUUGUAAGGGAAUAAACCCCCGGACGUGUCCGGGGUUGAAGGUACCUUACGAAUAAGCAUCGGCUAACUCCGUGCCAGCAGCCGCGGUAAUACGGAGGAUGCAAGCGUUAUCCGGAUUUAUUGGGUUUAAAGGGUGCGUAGGCGGCCUGUUAAGUCAGAGGUGAAAGGUUGCGGCUUAACCGCAGAAAUGCCUUUGAUACUGGCGGGCUUGAAUAAAGUUGAGGUAGGCGGAAUGUGGCAAGUAGCGGUGAAAUGCAUAGAGAUGCCACAGAACACCGAUUGCGAAGGCAGCUUACUAAGCUUUGAUUGACGCUGAGGCACGAAAGCGUGGGGAUCAAACAGGAUUAGAUACCCUGGUAGUCCACGCAGUAAACGAUGAGAACUAGCUGUUGGCGAUAGAAUGUCAGCGGCACAGCGAAAGCGUUAAGUUCUCCACCUGGGGAGUACGACCGCAAGGUUGAAACUCAAAGGAAUUGACGGGGGCCCGCACAAGCGGAGGAGCAUGUGGUUUAAUUCGAUGAUACGCGAGGAACCUUACCUGGGCUUGAAAGUGAGUGACCGGCGCUGAAAGGCGCCCUCCCUUCGGGGCACAAAACUAGGUGCUGCAUGGCUGUCGUCAGCUCGUGCCGKGAGGUGUUGGGUUAAGUCCCGCAACGAGCGCAACCCCUAUCAUCAGUUGCCAGCAGGUAAAGCUGGGGACUCUGGUGAGACUGCCUGCGCAAGCAGUGAGGAAGGAGGGGACGACGUCAAGUCAUCAUGGCCCUUACGUCCAGGGCUACACACGUGCUACAAUGGUAGCUACAGAGGGCAGCGACCUUGCAAAAGGGAGCCAAUCUCAAAAAGGCUAUCACAGUUCGGAUUGAGGUCUGCAACUCGACCUCAUGAAGUUGGAUUCGCUAGUAAUCGCGUAUCAGCAAUGACGCGGUGAAUACGUUCCCGGGCCUUGUACACACCGCCCGUCAAGCCAUGGGAGCCGGGGGUACCUGAAGGCCGUUGCCGCAAGGAGCGGCUAAGGGUAAAACUGGUGACUGGGGCUAAGUC
This 1457-nucleotide ribosomal RNA is filed under the name Anseongella ginsenosidimutans. Its description in RNAcentral is "16S ribosomal RNA". It matches the Rfam family "Bacterial small subunit ribosomal RNA". The record is from RNAcentral. Lineage: Bacteria; Pseudomonadati; Bacteroidota; Sphingobacteriia; Sphingobacteriales; Sphingobacteriaceae.